Populus euphratica (Euphrates poplar) is the source of this 815-nucleotide long non-coding RNA. RefSeq lists it as uncharacterized. The transcript has 2 exons. NCBI's taxonomy places the organism in Eukaryota, Viridiplantae, Streptophyta, Magnoliopsida, Malpighiales, Salicaceae. The record is from RefSeq and is a predicted model, not a curated record.
GAGAAUAAGAAUGAAAACCAUGUUGAAUUGGAAAGAGAACAACAAUGCCAUUUCAAAAAUUAGCAGCUAAAGAGUUGCAAACCAUAAACCCAAGAAAAAGCAGGCAAGUGAUGGAUGGCCAAAAUGGGCAGGAUUAUCCUGGUAGAUUAUAUAGGCAUGAAAUGCCCAGUCAAAUAAAUUGAUGCAUUUCCACAAAAUCUGUCAGUAUCCUUGACAAAUUCCCUUAAGAAAGCACAAUGAUUCUAUUCAUCAACCACCAAGUAACAGAAUUAUUAUCAUUACACGAACUCCUGGCAAAAUCUGCCCAUAUUUUGGAGAAAUCAGCUAAAUCAAGGCCUAAAAAUACAAAUCGUAGUUUGACCUACUUUAUAAUUAUUUCAGAGUCAAACAUCAGAGUUGGAGAGUGAAUAAAUGGAGCAUUCCAAGGAAGACUACAAUAUCUACAAUAAAAGGAAACCUCCUAUGCAAUGGAAUCAUGGACCAUAGCAGGAAUAUAUUACGAGGACAUUAUCAUUUACCUCAUUACUAAAACUAGACUCAAUUGCAUGUGAUGAAAAUUCCAUACGCCCCAAACCACGGGUGCAAUCCAUGUAAAAUGGAACAUUGCCUAAUGUAAAGGGAACAACCCCCUAUGCCUCGGACCACUAGCAGGACUUUGUUACUUGGACAUUACCCAUAUCUUUUGGUGCUGAUAUCUGCCCCCAGUAUAACAUAUCACAGCAUGUAAGUUGAAUAAAAUAUGUUUUGAUUUCCUUUCCCAUUAUUCAAAAUAAAAAGAUCUUGUAAAGGACAAAAACCUCAAUGCAUAUGAUACU